Molecule: antisense RNA, 75 nt
Filed under: Streptomyces melanosporofaciens
Lineage: Bacteria; Bacillati; Actinomycetota; Actinomycetes; Kitasatosporales; Streptomycetaceae
Description: ASpks TB sRNA
Rfam family: ASpks TB sRNA
Source: RNAcentral
CUUGAUGGCCCCCAGCAGCAACGGCUCACCUUCGGGACGUCCCUGUCCGUAGGUGGCCAGCAGCGCCUGCGCCUC